GAUGAACGCUGGCGGCGUGCCUAAUACAUGCAAGUCGAGCGAAUGGACGAGAAGCUUGCUUCUCUGAUGUUAGCGGCGGACGGGUGAGUAACACGUGGAUAACCUACUUAUAAGACUGGGAUAACUUCGGGAAACCGGAGCUAAUACCGGAUAAUAUUUUGAACCGCAUGGUUCAAAAGUGAAAGACGGUCUUGCUGUCACUUAUAGAUGGAUCCGCGCUGCAUUAGCUAGUUGGUAAGGUAACGGCUUACCAAGGCAACGAUGCAUAGCCGACCUGAGAGGGUGAUCGGCCACACUGGAACUGAGACACGGUCCAGACUCCUACGGGAGGCAGCAGUAGGGAAUCUUCCGCAAUGGGCGAAAGCCUGACGGAGCAACGCCGCGUGAGUGAUGAAGGUCUUCGGAUCGUAAAACUCUGUUAUUAGGGAAGAACAUAUGUGUAAGUAACUGUGCACAUCUUGACGGUACCUAAUCAGAAAGCCACGGCUAACUACGUG
Molecule: ribosomal RNA, 497 nt
Filed under: uncultured bacterium
Lineage: Bacteria
Description: partial 16S ribosomal RNA
Rfam family: Bacterial small subunit ribosomal RNA
Source: RNAcentral